RNAcentral lists this ribosomal RNA (787 nucleotides) under uncultured bacterium. RNAcentral's name for it is "bacterial SSU rRNA". It matches the Rfam family "Bacterial small subunit ribosomal RNA", at positions 8 to 796 of the family's 1533-position model. The record is from RNAcentral.
AGAGUUUGAUCAUGGCUCAGGAUGAACGCUAGCGGGAGGCCUAACACAUGCAAGCCGAGCGGUAGAGUAUCUUCGGAUACUUGAGAGCGGCGCACGGGUGCGGAACACGUGUGCAACCUGCCUUUAUCUGGGGGAUAGCCUUUCGAAAGGAAGAUUAAUACCCCAUAAUAUAUUUGAUGGCAUCAUUAGAUAUUGAAAACUCCGGUGGAUAGAGAUGGGCACGCGCAAGAUUAGUUAGUUGGUGAGGUAACGGCUCACCAAGGCGAUGAUCUUUAGGGGGCCUGAGAGGGUGAUCCCCCACACUGGUACUGAGACACGGACCAGACUCCUACGGGAGGCAGCAGUGAGGAAUAUUGGACAAUGGGUUAGCGCCUGAUCCAGCCAUCCCGCGUGAAGGACGACGGCCCUAUGGGUUGUAAACUUCUUUUGUAUAGGGAUAAACCUACUCUCGUGAGAGUAGCUGAAGGUACUAUACGAAUAAGCACCGGCUAACUCCGUGCCAGCAGCCGCGGUAAUACGGAGGGUGCAAGCGUUAUCCGGAUUUAUUGGGUUUAAAGGGUCCGUAGGCGGAUCUGUAAGUCAGUGGUGAAAUCUCAUAGCUUAACUAUGGAACUGCCAUUGAUACUGCAGGUCUUGAGUAAAUUUGAAGUGGCUGGAAUAAGUAGUGUAGCGGUGAAAUGCAUAGAUAAUACUUAGAACACCAAUUGCGAAGGCAGGUCACUAAGAUUUAACUGACGCUGAUGGACGAAAGCGUAGGAGCGAACAGGAUUAGAUAUCCUGGUAGUCC